RNAcentral lists this ribosomal RNA (418 nucleotides) under uncultured Alphaproteobacteria bacterium. RNAcentral describes it as "bacterial SSU rRNA". It matches the Rfam family "Bacterial small subunit ribosomal RNA", at positions 43 to 497 of the family's 1533-position model. Lineage: Bacteria; Pseudomonadati; Pseudomonadota; Alphaproteobacteria. The record is from RNAcentral.
CAGGCCUAACACAUGCAAGUCGGACGAGAAGGUUCCUUCGGGAACUGGAGAGUGGCGCACGGGUGAGUAACGCGUGGGGACCUACCUCUUAGUGGGGGAUAACGGUUGGAAACGACCGCUAAUACCGCAUACGCCCUUCGGGGGAAAGAUUUAUCGCUAAGAGAUGGACCCGCGUUGGAUUAGAUAGUUGGUGAGGUAACGGCUCACCAAGUCAGCGAUCCAUAGCUGGUUUGAGAGGAUGAUCAGCCACACUGGGACUGAGACACGGCCCAGACUCCUACGGGAGGCAGCAGUGGGGAAUAUUGGACAAUGGGGGCAACCCUGAUCCAGCCAUGCCGCGUGAGUGAAGAAGGCCUUCGGGUUGUAAAGCUCUUUCAGAUGCGAAGAUGAUGACGGUAACAUCAGAAGAAGCCCCGGC